UAGUUCAGCAAAUUAUGGUCAGAGAGAGGUGGAAGAAGAAUUCAGUUAAUAUGAAGAGUGAGUUUCCACAGAUCAAAAGAAACAAUUUAAUGCGAACUCGAAUGAGUUCCGAAUUGGCAUUAGCAGAUAGAAACACCGGUAUGAAUGAUCGAGCUUUUGUUACACUAUGUUGGGAUUCGCAUGUAAGUUAGAUUACACUAACAUCGUCACACAUCUACUACAUUACAACAACUACCCAGUAUAAUCUCACAAAGUGGGGUCUGGAGAGGGUAAUAUGUAGACAUGCCUUACCCCUGCCCGAAAGAGGGCAGAAAAGCUGUUUCCAAUCGACCCUCGGCUCAAGAGAGAAAGAAUGAUAAAACUAAAUUACACAGGUAGCGACGAGUAGAGAAUACUAAAUUAACGAAAAACGUUACGUUGUGCAUUACAAGCAUGCUUGCAACGAUUAAGAGGUAAGAAUCUAUUCACAGGCCAACUUUGUGCCAAAGCUGGUCAGGCAAAUUGCAAACGCUUGGAAGGCAGACAGAGGCUUCCGGUAGUCCAUUGUAAAAACAUCAUCUCCUACCUUCCCAAACUGAAGGAUUACUGUAUCCUCAUCGCCUUUUCCACCAGGCUGGCUCUGGUCCAGUGUUGGUAGUCCAUUGUAAAAACAUCAUCUCCUGCCUUCCCAAACUGAAGGAUUACUGUAUCCUCAUCGCCUUUUCCACCAGGCUGGCUCUGGUCCAGUGUUGCAACUAGCUGAAAAUUCUUAACAGAUGCAACGGUGACUCUGCCGUGGAAAUUUAAACACCAACAUUGCAAGUGCUC
RNAcentral lists this long non-coding RNA (807 nucleotides) under Nicotiana benthamiana. Its description in RNAcentral is "long non-coding RNA (NBEN_LNC032538)". Lineage: Eukaryota; Viridiplantae; Streptophyta; Magnoliopsida; Solanales; Solanaceae. The record is from RNAcentral.